AACGAACGCUGGCGGCAUGCCUAACACAUGCAAGUCGAACGAGACCUUCGGGUCUAGUGGCGCACGGGUGCGUAACGCGUGGGAACCUGCCCUUAGGUUCGGAAUAACUCCCCGAAAGGGGUGCUAAUACCGGAUAAUGUCUUCGGACCAAAGAUUUAUCGCCUUUGGAUGGGCCCGCGUUGGAUUAGCUAGUUGGUAGGGUAAAAGCCUACCAAGGCGACGAUCCAUAGCUGGUCUGAGAGGAGGAUCAGCCACACUGGGACUGAGACACGGCCCAGACUCCUACGGGAGGCAGCAGUGGGGAAUAUUGGACAAGGGGCGAAAGCCUGAUCCAGCAAUGCCGCGUGAGUGAUGAAGGCCUUAGGGUUGUAAAGCUCUUUUAACCGGGAUGAUAAUGACAGUACCGGGAGAAUAAGCUCCGGCUAACUCCGUG
Molecule: ribosomal RNA, 433 nt
Filed under: uncultured bacterium
Lineage: Bacteria
Description: partial 16S ribosomal RNA
Rfam family: Bacterial small subunit ribosomal RNA
Source: RNAcentral